GGAGUGAUACCCAAGAGGCCGAAGGGGCUCCCCUGCUAAGGGAGUAGUACGAGUGAAUCGUAGCCAGGGUUCAAAUCCCUGCUUCUCCGCCA
Molecule: transfer RNA, 92 nt
Filed under: Candidatus Limadaptatus stercoripullorum
Lineage: Bacteria; Bacillati; Bacillota; Clostridia; Eubacteriales
Description: tRNA-Ser
Rfam family: tRNA
About the family: Transfer RNA (tRNA) molecules are approximately 80 nucleotides in length. Their secondary structure includes four short double-helical elements and three loops (D, anti-codon, and T loops). Further hydrogen bonds mediate the characteristic L-shaped molecular structure. tRNAs have two regions of fundamental functional importance: the anti-codon, which is responsible for specific mRNA codon recognition, and the 3' end, to which the tRNAs corresponding amino acid is attached (by aminoacyl-tRNA synthetases). tRNAs cope with the degeneracy of the genetic code in two manners: having more than one tRNA (with a specific anti-codon) for a particular amino acid; and 'wobble' base-pairing, i.e. permitting non-standard base-pairing at the 3rd anti-codon position.
Source: RNAcentral